UACGUAGGGUGCGAGCGUUGUCCGGAAUUACUGGGCGUAAAGAGCUCGUAGGUGGUUUGUCGCGUUGUCCGUGAAAACUCACAACUCAAUUGUGGGCGUGCGGGCGAUACGGGCAGACUGGAGUACUGCAGGGGAGACUGGAAUUCCUGGUGUAGCGGUGGAAUGCGCAGAUAUCAGGAGGAACACCGAUGGCGAAGGCAGGUCACUGGGCCGCAACUGACGCUGAGGAGCGAAAGCAUGGGGAGCGAACAGG
RNAcentral lists this ribosomal RNA (253 nucleotides) under uncultured bacterium. Its description in RNAcentral is "partial 16S ribosomal RNA". It matches the Rfam family "Bacterial small subunit ribosomal RNA", at positions 524 to 776 of the family's 1533-position model. The record is from RNAcentral.